UUUCGCCUAUGCUCUCUCUCUCGCCGUCUCUCCCAAAUGGAGAGUUAAAGAUUUUUUUCCUUUUUGUCGACAAAGUCGAAGAGAUGAUAAGAGGAAGAGAAGAAGGCAAAGAAUUUUGGUCAAACAUCGUGUAUAUGCUAAGCUCGAUCUUCGGCUGAAGCUAUGGCACAAAGUAAUUGGGAAGCUUACAAGAUGAUUGACGUUUAUAUAUACGUAUGAGAUCAUUUGGUGAAGAAAAAAACUUCGUAAUACUGCAAAAUCGUUUAUGAUUGAAGGAAAGGUUUCACCUGAUCGAGCUGGUAAUUAUAUGACUUUCGUGAUCAGAGUAACUAUAAGAAUAUUAAACCAUUGUACGAUGAAAUGAGGCAGAAGUUCAGUCGAAUGCAUUGCUGGAGGUGCUACCCAUAACUCAAUCAAACUGACCCAGUGGAUGCUUCAAACUCUUUAGGCAACCAGUUACAUGGGAUCCAUUGGAAAGGACAAAUAGGGAGAGGCAAUGAUGGUUGCUACCGCAGCUGGUGUCAAUGUCCACUCUUUUGGAGAUGAGUCAAAACCUACCAGAACUUGCCGUGUCUGUGUUCUUGGUGGAGAAAGGUCGCUCAUUGCAAAUCUUUCUGCUGCAAGCUGCUACAAGGUUGAACACUUGCAUAAGCAUGAGUACUGGGCUCUAGUUGGGAAUGCUAAGUUCUACUACAUUGAUGGAUUCUUCGUCACAGUAUAUCAUACUAUAAUCCAUUCAGUUGGUAUGUGAACAUGCAGCUGCUAACAACAAGCUAAGAAGACAUGAUCCUUUAUGAGAACCAGACAUGUCAUAUAUAUUUUGUAAUGUCUUCUCUUUGAUCAGAUUUCAACACAUUUCUCUACUGUUUCUCCCUAACAGUAGCAAGAAUCAAGGUUUACUGACAUCUGAAAUAUCUAUCUAUUCUCAGUUGGUACAUGAUUUUUUCUAUUAAGAAUUUUUUUAUUAA
Camelina sativa (false flax) is the source of this 968-nucleotide non-coding RNA. NCBI's taxonomy places the organism in Eukaryota, Viridiplantae, Streptophyta, Magnoliopsida, Brassicales, Brassicaceae. The record is from RefSeq and is a predicted model, not a curated record.